AUUGAACGCUGGCGGCAGGCUUAACACAUGCAAGUCGAGCGGAGAUGAGGUGCUUGCACCUUAUCUUAGCGGCGGACGGGUGAGUAAUGCUUAGGAAUCUGCCUAUUAGUGGGGGACAACAUUCCGAAAGGAAUGCUAAUACCGCAUACGUCCUACGGGAGAAAGCAGGGGAUCUUCGGACCUUGCGCUAAUAGAUGAGCCUAAGUCGGAUUAGCUAGUUGGUGGGGUAAAGGCCUACCAAGGCGACGAUCUGUAGCGGGUCUGAGAGGAUGAUCCGCCACACUGGGACUGAGACACGGCCCAGACGCCUACGGGAGGCAGCAGUGGGGAAUAUUGGACAAUGGGGGGAACCCUGAUCCAGCCAUGCCGCGUGUGUGAAGAAGGCCUUAUGGUUGUAAAGCACUUUAAGCGAAGAGGAGGCUACUGAGACUAAUACUCUUGGAUAGUGGACGUUACUCGCAGAAUAAGCACCGGCUAACUCUGUGCCAGCAGCCGCGGUAA
Molecule: ribosomal RNA, 501 nt
Filed under: uncultured bacterium
Lineage: Bacteria
Description: partial 16S ribosomal RNA
Rfam family: Bacterial small subunit ribosomal RNA
Source: RNAcentral